UGGUUGACUGGGGAGAGCGGGGAUCGAACCGCCGACUCUUUGAUCAUUGGACAACCUGCUCAACCGCCCAAAUAAAAACAACUUCGAAAAGCACAUUUUGAACAUAGAGUGAACAUGCAGGCAUAUCUCAACCUAGAGGACAAGGUUCAGCUGGUACUUGUUAAAACCGAGCCCGUUGAGUUGGCGACACCAGUUCAGUGGCCUUGUGGAAGAGUGUCUGCCCCGUGACUGGAAGGUUUUGAGUGCAAAUCCAGGCCAAGUCAUACCAACAACCCUAAAAAUGGGACCCAGUGACAUUAAGGGGUAAAUUGGGGGAUUAAACUGCCAAAUGGUUCCCAAGCGCGGCUUUGUCUGCAGCUCACUGCUCCCCCAGGGGAGGGGUCAAAGGCAAAGGACAAAUGUCACACAUAUACAGUAGGUGUGUGACAGAUAAUGGGACUUUAACUUUUCUUUUUCUAAAUAUUCAUUUGUAAUCUGUCUGCUCACAGUCUCUUUAGAAACAAGGCGACUCAGAUGUUUGGUUAAAAAAUGAUGUGAGAAGAAGCUCAGAGGGAUGCUUACAGGAGAAACUUUAAAUUAUUGGAAUAAAUCAUCUGGUUGGUCAUGAAUGGACACGAGAUCAUAACUUUCUGGAAACACACUUUUGUCAUUUGUUUUAGUGAACCUAUGAAUGUGUUUGGAAUUGGACCAGCAACCUACAAACAGAGAAAUGAAUCCGAGUUGUAGCCCUUUUGAUGCUAAAGUAGAAGUGAAUCACGAGCCCUGAUGUGUUUUUCUCAUGAAGCUGCACUAAACGAAAUUCCUGCAGUCAGCCCGUCAACCAGAAUCCAACGCGGCUUUUCUGCUGAAGACUUUUCAGAUGAAACCAGAUUCAUGCACAGUUGUGUCCACACUGCGUCCAACGUCCUCUCCUGUGAGAUGUCUGCUCCCAUGCAGGACAAUGACGGACAUGAACCACGACGACCAUGGAAAUGACAGACCUACAGGAAAGUGGCGUCACAGCGUUGCUCCACUGGGUUUGGUGCUGCUGCAGUCAUCACACAGAGAUUGGAUGCAGGAGGGGACAGUGGACUCAUCCGAGCCGUCUUCAGCAUAGAUAAGGACUCGUUUCUCGCCGAAGGCCGCGGCGCAGCCCAGGCCAGAAGAGCGUUAACGCCGUGCCUUCAGCAGCUCAGCCCAGGCCAGCUUUCUGUCCAUCACAUCCACCCGUACAGCAGCCUUAACGGAUCAGACACCACCCAGACUGAGGACUUAUGCUGUUGUAAUCAUCAACUUUAUUACAUUUCAUUGGACAUUCAGGAAUCAUGGAAUCAAACCAACACACAAAGUAAAGUCUUAGUUUUUAGUCUGAAUGAAUUCUGGUCACAUUAGGGUUUUCUCUCUUGGACUGCAUGCAAACAGAAGAUUAAAUCAAAAAAAUCACAAUGAUGACUGUUGGGAGGUUUUGUGUGAUUU
Long non-coding RNA from Oryzias latipes (Japanese medaka), 1455 nucleotides. RefSeq lists it as uncharacterized. The record is from RefSeq and is a predicted model, not a curated record. NCBI's taxonomy places the organism in Eukaryota, Metazoa, Chordata, Actinopteri, Beloniformes, Adrianichthyidae.